UAUUGGGCACAGUGAGGGAGCCAAGAGUGUUGACUUGUCUGGGUGUGGUUUAGUGAGGCCUGAUUGUCUUAUUUAAACUGAAUAUUGUAAUCAAGGGGAUCUUUCUCUAGCACAGAAAUACCUGAAAUUUGAGAGAUCCAAAUUACUCAAAGUACUCAGAGCUGCUGACAGCAUUAAUACCAGCGUAAUCACAUGUGCACUGGACUUGGACUAUCUAGAUAAUGAGUUUUUUGCAGUCUCAGGCCCUUCCUACCCUAGCCUAGUGGGCUGUGUCCUCUUCAGCUGUGUGCAGAGACUUACGGUUCCUGUUAGCUACUCACUGCCUGGGGAUGGCUGGUGCUUUCCCUUCUUCUUCCAAUUGCCCUGCACAUUUAUUAGGCAUCACACUUUCUGGGCAGAGGGGGUGGUUCAGACUGUGCAGGGCAGACAGUGUCUCUCCUAUAUUAACUUCAGUGAUCCUUCCUUCCAUCUGUCUGUCCUUCUGUCCUCCCCUAUGCUCUCUUCCCUCUUCCCUUUUGGGAUCCUUGCACAGUCACUCUCUCUUGGUGGGAGGAGUUUCCACCCUAGCUCAGAGCCGGCUGUCGCAUAGUGUUUGCCACAUGCAGCUCAUCAGCCUGGAGACCCUGUCCUCUCAACACCAAGACGUGAUCUGCAGGGAGCAAAGGGAGCAGACCCUGCUGUCACCCCUAAGAUGGAGAAAGACCCAAGCUGCCAAGGCUCAAACGUAUGAAAGCCGUAAAGCCUUCUGCUGCAGUUAAUGAAAUGUGGCUUGCCCCAAAUGUUGAGAACACCACCCAUCCGGAAUCUGAGCACUGCAGUCCUCCAGGAUUUGAGGACUGCCUUCCACUAGGUUUUGACCACUCCAUUACCCAGUAUUUGAUGGCUGUGCUCCUGCAGAAUUAAUUAUUGCAGUCCUCCAGGAUUUGAGGACUUGAAUCAUAGAAUCAUUUAGGUUGGAAAAGACCUUCAAGAUCAUUGAGUCCAACCAUCAACCAUGCCCUCUAAACCAUGUCCUGAAGUGCCUUGUCUAUGUGUUUUUUGAAUACCUCCAGGGAUGGUGACUCAACCACUUCCCUGGGCAGCCUGUUCCAAUGCCUGACAACCCUUUCAGCAAAGAAAUUUUUCGUAAUAUCCAGUCUAAACCUCCCCUGCCGCAACUUGAGGCCAUUUCCUCUCAUCCUAUCUCCAGCCACCUGACAGAAGAGACCAGCACCCACCUCACUACAACCUCCUUUCAGGUCUUCCAGGAAAACCCAUGAGGAGCCCCUUGGAAAGCAGACAUGGUAAUCAGCCCUGAGAAGAGUUCAGCCCCUGCUUCUCUUUGUCUCCACUAAGAGGUGUCACUGUGAAAAGAGGAGGACCUCAGGGAUUUCUGAAGGCUAGAUUAGGGCUCUGACUUCAGUUCCCAUCUCCUCUUGGGUGGUCCCUGCACCUGACUGGAUGGAUGAGGGAACAGCCUAACAACUCAGUGGACAUGGGUGGUUUGCUUAACACAUACAAUGUUAAUAAAACCACAGUUUUUAACUUGGCAGAUUUAAGCAUGAUUAUACUUCUGUUGUUUGCUUAGAGGAAUGUGCUGCUUAGGUGGUAAGUCAGUUCAAACUGUAUUAGGAGAUGGAAACUGUAGUGAAGAACACGCAGCAACUUUUAUUUAGGAACUGUUUUAGAAGGAAAAAAGAAAAGGGAACAAAACAGAACAUUGCUAGCAAUGGGUAUAGCCAUAUAUGUAAUUGCUAUUAAGGAAUGGCCUUGGUAAUCAGAUGUUGAAUUUUCUGCAAUGCCUGUGUUAAAUUUUAUCUUAAAUGGUGUGUAGUAAUUUUAAGAUGGCUUUAUCUUAGUUACAAGUGCUGUUUGUAUGUUUCCUGAAGUAUCUUUUCUUACAGAAUGUUGAAUAAAAGAGUUUUUUUGUUAUUACUAAAAUGGUGUUCCUGAAUGUCAUUAUGAGCUGGGAUUGUUUAUGUAAUCUGUUUUGCUGUUUAAAUAUAUCUUAAUACAUGUUCUUUCUGUAGAUAAAAAUCUAUGGCUUUGUAUUCUAACCCUGCUGUAGGCAAAGCCACAUUGUUGGUGUCUCUUCAGAGCAAACAGAUGAUUGUGAUUGCAAUCCUACUUCCUGACUGCCUUCCUUCAUGGGCAGAAACCCCAAACCCAACCCCUUUCUCAUCUUG
This is a long non-coding RNA of Harpia harpyja (harpy eagle), 2165 nucleotides long. RefSeq lists it as uncharacterized. The record is from RefSeq and is a predicted model, not a curated record. The transcript has 3 exons. Lineage: Eukaryota; Metazoa; Chordata; Aves; Accipitriformes; Accipitridae.